This 363-nucleotide unclassified non-coding RNA is filed under the name uncultured fungus. RNAcentral describes it as "partial contains 5.8S ribosomal RNA and internal transcribed spacer 2". The stretch from base 1 to 133 matches the Rfam family "5.8S ribosomal RNA", at positions 22 to 154 of the family's 154-position model. Lineage: Eukaryota; Fungi. The record is from RNAcentral.
UGGCUCUGGCAUCGAUGAAGAACGCAGCGAAAUGCGAUAAGUAAUGCGAAUUGCAGAUUUCAGUGAGUCAUCGAAUCUUUGAACGCACAUUGCGCCCGCCAGUAUUCUGGCGGGCAUGCCUGUUCGAGCGUCAUUAUCAACCCUCAAGCUCUGCUUGGUGUUGGGGAUCGGCAGCCCUGGGGCGCCCCCUCCGCGGGGGCGACACUCCCCUCCCCGCCGUCCCCCAAAUCCAGUGGCGGUCACGCUGCAGCCUCCCAUGCGUAGUAGCACACCUCGCAGGCGGAGAGCGGCGCGGCCACGCCGUAAAACACCCCACUACGAAAACGUAUGGUUGACCUCGAAUCAGGUAGGACUACCCGCUGA